Molecule: ribosomal RNA, 521 nt
Filed under: uncultured bacterium
Lineage: Bacteria
Description: partial 16S ribosomal RNA
Rfam family: Bacterial small subunit ribosomal RNA
Source: RNAcentral
UAGGGAAUCUUCCACAAUGGACGCAAGUCUGAUGGAGCAACGCCGCGUGAGUGAAGAAGGUUUUCGGACCGUAAAGCUCUGUUGUUGGUGAAGAAGGAUAGAGGUAGUAACUGGCCUUUAUUUGACGGUAAUCAACCAGAAAGUCACGGCUAACUACGUGCCAGCAGCCGCGGUAAUCGUAGGUGGCAAGCGUUGUCCGGAUUUAUUGGGCGUAAAGCGAGCGCAGGCGGAAGAAUAAGUCUGAUGUGAAAGCCCUCGGCUUAACCGAGGAAUUGCAUCGGAAACUGUUUUUCUUGAGUGCAGAAGAGGAGAGUAGAACUCCAUGUGUAGCGGUGGAAUGCGUAGAUAUAUGGAAGAAUACCAGUGGCGAAGGCGGCUCUCUGGUCUGCAACUGACGCUGAGGCUCGAAAGCAUGGGUAGCGAACAGGAUUAGAUACCCUGGUAGUCCAUGCCGUAAACGAUGAGUGCUAAGUGUUGGGAGGCUUCCGCCUCUCAGUGCUGCAGCUAACGCAUUAAGCACU